AGAGGGACAGCUGGGUCAAAUGGUGGUUCUGGUUCCAUUCCCAAUUUUCCAAGAAAUCUCCAUACUGCUUUCCAUAUUGGCUGCACCAAUUUGCAGUCCCACCAGCAGU
This 109-nucleotide microRNA precursor is filed under the name Marmota monax (woodchuck). Lineage: Eukaryota; Metazoa; Chordata; Mammalia; Rodentia; Sciuridae. The record is from RNAcentral.